UCAGGCUUUGAAGGGCAUUUUUGAACUAAUUUACUCAGAUCUGCAAAUAUCUGUGUGUUUGCAGCAAGAGCUGCUUAAGGACCAACUUACUUACCUGGCACACCUGGCUGAACAGCUGGAGAAGGACAAAGAGCAAGAAGAAAUAGAUGAGAAGCUUUUCAAGGAAGAGAAUGAUCGGGUUUGGGCUGAGAGGGUUGAGAAAAUGAAACUAGAGAGGGAAGCUCGAUUUCAGCUGCUGAGAGAUGUCGUGAAUACAAGACAAGAGCAGAUGAAGGAGAAGUUGCAGAAAAAGGCAGAGAAGCAAUUAGAAGUUGCUGAAGAGAGGAAGUUAUUAGCUGAAACGUUCAGAGAAUACAAACGUUUGGAAGAACUAAAACGUGCAAGAAAAGUACAGAAAGCCAACGAGUACCGGGAUCAGCUCACGAGUCAGAUUUCCUACCGACAGCACCUCCGUGAGGAAGAGGAGAAGGAGAGGAAACGGGAAUAUGAGGCAGGUCUGGAAGAACAGAGAGAGUAUGAAGAAAGGGUGCAGUUCAUUCUGUCAGCGCCCCGGGACUCCAUACUAAAAACCCACCCUAUGAGAAAAGCCCUAAUGUCUGACUCGUAGGGGGCAUCACUCACUAUGGUAUUUUAGCUCACUCAGUUGCCUUUAAAAACAUUUUCCUAGAGUGUUUAUACCUGACUAGAGUUAGCAGAAGUCUCUCCACUGUAAUACUCAAAACAUUUAAUUGGAAUUUAUAAGAAAUGCAGUAUUUUGAAGUUUAUUUCUCCCCUGUGGAUAUUUUUUGGGAAAACAACUGAUCCAAUUCGAAGCGUUUGACAUUUUAAUUCAAGAAUACUGUAUGUUCUCUGCAGUGUAAUAGUGUAUUAUUAUGACACUUAAGACACACAGGCAUUCUUUAAAAUCUGCACGAAGAAAAUUUGUGGAAGACUUUCAGCAAACUUUUAUUAAAAUGCCUUUCAAACUGAAAAUAUUUGCAGAAUCCUUUUUUUCUUUAUAUCUAGAUAAAACGUACUUGGUGACUCAAUUUUAGUAGUUAAAUAUAAAACUAUGAAUCUCUUUUACUGUGGGAUGGACAGUAAAGAGCUGAUAUUCUUUUCCAUAAACUCUGAUGGCUGUUGAAUGAUCUGUGGAAUACCAGAGCCCAAAGCCAGUCUGUGAGUCCUCUGCUUGUGCAGAAUUAAUUGUGCAGGGCUGAAGUUAUUAUUUUCUUGUUAUUUUUUAUCACUUUCAUGGCAAGUCUGCCUCUUUGGGUUCCUUGGAUUGUCACCAACACCACAGUCUGAACAGAUGGAAUGGGGGGCCAGAGCACCGACAACACUUCAGGAUGGAGCAACAAAAGAAAUGGCUGGAUGUCAGCAGAGGAGGGUUGGGAGGGUUUUGGCAGUGGGGAGCAGGGACACCUCCUCUCUGCCUUCUCAGCUCCCCGUGUCAAAGGCCAGAUUGCCCUGUGUGCAGAGGAGCAGGGGGUGACACGAGGAGGAUGGGUGGGAGCAAUCCAUCUUCUCCCCGUGCCAUUGCCCUCAACCAGCUCCUUCCUGUGUAUUCAAUUAGUUUUCUCUCAGUCCUUUGCAGAGGAGGGAGGUGAAGAAUCCAUUUAAAACCU
This is a long non-coding RNA of Lepidothrix coronata (blue-crowned manakin), 1607 nucleotides long. NCBI's taxonomy places the organism in Eukaryota, Metazoa, Chordata, Aves, Passeriformes, Pipridae. The record is from Ensembl.